UCCAGUUUCUGGGGCUGGAUGCCGGCGUCUUCCAGCACCGGCCACAGAGCGUCGUGCACCUGAAGACAAGAAUCAGAGGGAGUUUUCCUCCGCCUCCUGCUUCAGGCGCUGCCACUUGCGCUGCGCUUCUGGGGCUAAACGCCGGCUUUCUGGCGCGUGACCUACACCUCGGUGAGUUUUCUUCUCCUGAUUAUUGAGGAGCGAGGCUUUUGCAAAAGGGAAAUCAGAAUUGUGCCUGCAUUUUAUUAGCCUUGUGGCUAUUUGCAAAUUAAUUGGGAAGGCAGAAUAAUUUACUUCUUGUAUAGAAUUCAGUUUUGAUUACUGGCGUGUCACUAAAGUUCCAGCUUCCACCAGAGCUCUUAUUAUGAGAAAUUAAGAUACCUUUCUCCUUCCCCCAAAUAAAAUAAACAUACGGCUGUGGGACGCGAUCAAAUUAAAAAAUAUCAUUUAAUCCAAGGGAAGAUAAUUAUUUGAAUGAAACUGGAGAGGAGAAACUCAAUCUAGGGUUUGAAUGUUGACAUGAAAUUGUGAAGGCUAUUUUCACUCAUCACUGACUUUUAAUAGCACUUUUGCUAAUGAAUCCGACUAGUAUCCAUGAGGACGUGGGUGUGAUCCCUGGCUUCACUCAGUGGGUUAAGGAUCCGGCGUAGUUGUGAGCUGUGACAUAGGACAGCAGCUGUGGCUCUGAUUCGAGCCCUAGCCCGGGAACGUCCGUAUGCUGUGGGUAUGGCCCUAAAGAAAAAGACAAAAACAAACGAAAACACGGUGAAGUAAAGAGACCGAGGCAGGGAGUGUCUUUAGAGAGGGAAGGGAUGACAGCCUGCCGAAAUCUGUGUCCAGGAUGUGGCCAUGUCAAGAUGUACAAAGAGAGCUUUUCAGAGAAGGGAAGGUCCAGAUAGAAAAGUUCUAGGGCAGGAGUGACCUGGGCCCUUUGAAGAUCAGAAAUGAAGCCACUUGUUAGGAGCUGUGGAAUCAACGGGGAGAGAGGUAGACGGAGAUGUUGCCCAGCAGGCAGGGUGAGGGCUGGGUACUGAACUAUGUUGGGAAACCAUUAGAUAGAGUUCAUCAGACUCAUAACAUGAUGUGAUGCUCUUUUAAAAUAAGAUCAUCCGGGCUUCUUGAAGAGACCAAGACCAGAACCCGGAGCACCAGGCAAGGAGCUGUGGUGGCUGCUGGGGAAGAAACACUGGUGUCUGGCAUCAGGCAGCGGAGGAUAUGGGGGGAGCAGUGAGGUGGGGUGGGAAAGGCUUUGGCGCUAAUUCAGCAGGACUUGCUCUUGAAGAACAUGACAGGAGGGAGAUAAAGGGACUGAGGAUGGGCCAGACUGACAGAGGGGUGCCAUUUCCAGGGAGGAAGAUCACCAGGAAAGAAGGUGGCUUAAAAAAGUCAAUCAAGAGUUUUGUUUGAGCCUGGUCUUUAGACCUUCAAGUAUAGAAGUCAUAUAGAGAGGUCUGUACAUUAUUCUAGACUAGUUGCUUUUCUGUCCUAGUAGUUUAAAGAUCAAAAUUUAAGACUCAAACUAGUUAAAAAUGCAUAUUUAGCUUGACAUGCUCUGAAUCCUCCCUUGUGUAACAAUAAUCUUCAUUCGUUGAGUCUUUGUGCAGAGUAAGGCAAAAUCCCCUUUUUUACACAUAAACUUCCAAUGAAUUUUUGAUGAACGCUUUCACCUUGAAGUAGAGUGUAUGUGUGUGUAAGAAAAAAAGAAGAAAGAAAGAAUGAAUGAAUAUGGGAGAGAAGGUUAAUCUUUUAUCCUUUUCAGACACCUUGCACUCACACUGGUUUGGUAAGCUCCACUGCAAAGGUAUGAUAUUGGUACUUGGAUCACUGUGAUUAAAUUUGGCUUCAUGUAAUCAAACAUCUUCCACAAUGGUUUAAACACAAAAGGUUUAUUCUCACAAGUAGAAGAAUAAUCGGAGCUAGACAGUCCAAAGCUGGUAUGGCAGCUUUAUGAAAUCACCAAGGGAUACAGGCUCCUUCUGCCUUGCUACUCAUCUAGUUUUAGCUUACUGCCUCGUGGCCCAAAAUAGCUACAGAAGCUCCAGCCAUUAUGUAUCCAUUCCAGGCCACAAGAAAGUAGAAGGAGAAGGUCAUACCCCUUUUUCUUAAAGAUCAUUUUUGGAGGUAUGCUACCACACUUCUGCUUAUAAUUCAUUGUCAUAUGUCUACAUCUAACUUCAAGGGAAGCUGGGAAAAUAGUCUCUUAGUAGAGUGACAUUUGCUGAGAGAGAGUGUCAGUGGAUAUUAGCAGGCAUCUGGCAGCUUUGCCUUAGCCAUAGCUUGCCCACUUUACUUGCCUAAGAGCACCUAACUUAAAACAGGUAGGCAGAGCCGAGACCUAAAUUUUGCUAUUAUUCAUUCUCUGAUUUUCUGCCUUUCCUCUCCUCAGCUCUUCUAUUAUCUUCACAGUUGAGAAAAUGGCUAGUUUUUCUCAAACACCCUCUCAGAGCUAUUUAUUUUCCCAUUUUUAGCAUGAGGACCAUUCUCUGAGUUCUGCAAAGUGUUAUGGGGAACAGAAGAAAGGAGAGCGCUGAUUUCAACCUUGCAAUGCAAUCGCUCCCAACUUCCAUAAAUCAGCAGGUUUUCAGGAGGCAGCGAGGAGAGCGCCAUCCGAUUUUUACACACCUGAUUCGCAAUAAAAUCUGCACAGGGGCUUCUGGGGUGCUUAUUUUCCCAAAAGGCUGAGGCAGCAGAAAUCCAUCUAUUUUACCAGGGGAGAAGGAUUCACCCAUUUAGAAGUAACUGGUAAGUGCUGGGCUAGAACAUUUUAACUCCCAGUACCCAUUUUUAAUACAGCUCGGUGGGACAUAUCUUUGCAUGUGUCCUGAGACUCCCAGAGAGGAUCCUUAGCGACUUUUCUGCCGUAAACCAAAGAUUCAUUUUUUGAAAAAGAGGAAGAACGGUAAAUCCUUGGAUCUCAGAUCUUUGCCCCGGCGUGAGUGCGGGGCUUUGUGAAGUCCGGUAGUGGUGAUUCCUCUUGCUGUAGAAGAGCUACCCACUUCCCUCCUCUGAUAGACCCAUCCACUGGAUUACGUGAUGGACACCUGAACCUUCAGCUUGGCUUUCGUGCCUGUACGGCUGGGGGCCCUGUGUCAACGUAAAGCCAAGACAUGGCUCACCUACAAGCAGAGGCAACGAUUAGCUAGACGCUCAGGAAGCCACUUCAGGUGUUGGAGCUCAGGUUCCCUCACUCUCCAGGGAAGUGGGGUCAGACCAUUUGAGACUUACCAUGCUCCCGAACUGGCCGAGGAGGUGGUGAGAGCUGGGAUCGGUUAUCCUCAGUGUGCACCCCAUGAAGGAGGUGCUCAGCAGGGGUCUGUUAGGUGAGCCCCUUGGAUGAAACACCCCUUCUUGGCCUCUGCACAGGAGGGGGAGCUUUGCCUGCAUGUUCUCACGCAGUCCGCUUGGCAGCUUGCUGCCACGGCUGCUGUCCUGCAUGUUUUGGAGCAGGGGAGACUGAGGCUGAGGGCGAUGGGAAGCUCAGACUUAUAAUACCGUUAUAUGGGCUUGCUUUCAGGAAAGCCAACUCAUUCCAUGUAUAUUCAAAAUCAGUGACGGUUUUAAACUUAGCAGCAAUAGGCAUGAGUAAGUUGAACCAUGUGAAAUGGGUACUUGAUGGUGUUUGUGCUACAAAAAUGUCAAUGCCAUGUGGUUCAGUUAGUAGAUUUAAAAAAAAAAAAUCUAGCCAGGUCAUUUUCCUCACUUUGGAACUUGGCAAGUAGAAGUACCGAGGGACUUCUAGAAUAGCUAAUUCUAGUGCAACUGGACGGAGUACCUGCCUCAUCUAAAGCCAGUCAGCACUGGCAUUAUCGGAAGGCUGGGUCAUUACUCCUUGUUGAACGUCUGUCAUCUCCUAUCCUUUCUGUUCCCUACCAGAAUCUGCUGUCACAUCAGACAUAGGACUUGUAUUUCCUAAGUGGUAGAUUUUUUAAUGUAAUUUUUGUCGUUGCCUUUUGGGAAAAAAAAAUACUGCUAGAGUGCUUCAGUUAUAAAAUUGAAAAGAGGAGUUUCCUUUGCCGCUCAGCAGAUUAAGACCCUGACUAGUAUCCAUGAGGAUGCAGGUUUGAUCCCUGACCUCUCUCAGUGGUUUAAGGAUCCAGUGUUGCUGGAGCUGUGGUGUAGGUUGCACAUGUGGCUUAGAUCCCCUGUUGCUGUGGCUGUGGUGUAGACGGACGUAGCUCCAAUGAGACCCCUAGCCUGGGAACUUCCACGUGCUGUGGGUGCAGCCCUACAAAGACCAAAAAAAAAAAAAAAAGCCUGAGUAAGUUUAUUGCAACAAGAUUCACAAUAUAUACGUGAUCUCAGCCAACACAGAAAAAUGUGACUGGAGAAUAUAUCAGGGUGAUACUAGUGAUUGUCUUUUGUUUUCUCCCUGCUCCUUUAUGCUUUCACAUUCUUUCCAGUUUUCUUAUAUUACUCCCUUUGGGAAGAAAAGCAAAUCCUCAAAAAUGAAGGAAAACUCUUUGAAAAUAGAAUUUAAAUAUGGCAGGACAAAAAUAUUAUUGUGGAGUUCCUAUCGUGGUUCAGUGAAAAUGAAUCUGAUUACUAUCCAUGAGGACGCAGGUUCAAUCCCUGGCCUUGCUCAUUGGGUCAGGGAUCUGGCGUUGCCGUGCGUUGUGGUGUAGGUCACAGACGCAGCUGGGAUCCCACGUUGCUGUGGCUGUGGUGGCAUAGGCCUGCAACUACAGCUCCAAUUUGACCCCUAGCCUGGGAAUGUCCAUGUGC
RNAcentral lists this long non-coding RNA (4722 nucleotides) under Sus scrofa (pig). Its description in RNAcentral is "lncRNA (ENSSSCG00040011950.1)". Lineage: Eukaryota; Metazoa; Chordata; Mammalia; Artiodactyla; Suidae. The record is from RNAcentral.